GUGUCAGCAGCCGCGGUAAUACGUAGGUGGCAAGCGUUGUCCGGAUUUACUGGGCGUAAAGAGCGCGCAGGCGGUUGAUUAAGUCGAAUGUGAAAGCCCCCGGCUCAACUGGGGAGGGUCAUUCGAUACUGGUCGACUUGAAGGCAGGAGAGGGUAGUGGAAUUCCCGGUGUAGUGGUGAAAUGCGUAGAUAUCGGGAGGAACACCAGUGGCGAAGGCGACUACCUGGCCUGUUCUUGACGCUGAGGCGCGAAAGCUGGGGGAGCAAACGGGAUUAGAUACCCCGGUAGUCCCAGCCGUAAACGAUGGACACUAGGUGUUGGUGGUAUCAACCCCGCCAGUGCCGUAGCUAACGCAUUAAGUGUCCCGCCUGGGGAGUACGGCCGCAAGGCUAAA
This 395-nucleotide ribosomal RNA is filed under the name uncultured bacterium. RNAcentral's name for it is "bacterial SSU rRNA". It matches the Rfam family "Bacterial small subunit ribosomal RNA", at positions 505 to 898 of the family's 1533-position model. The record is from RNAcentral.